GAUCCUGGCUCAGGAUGAACGCUGGCGGCGUGCCUAAUACAUGCAAGUCGAGCGAACGGACGAGAAGCUUGCUUCUCUGAUGUUAGCGGCGGACGGGUGAGUAACACGUGGAUAACCUACCUAUAAGACUGGGAUAACUUCGGGAAACCGGAGCUAAUACCGGAUAAUAUUUUGAACCGCAUGGUUCAAAAGUGAAAGACGGUCUUGCUGUCACUUAUAGAUGGAUCCGCGCUGCAUUAGCUAGUUGGUAAGGUAACGGCUUACCAAGGCAACGAUGCAUAGCCGACCUGAGAGGGUGAUCGGCCACACUGGAACUGAGACACGGUCCAGACUCCUACGGGAGGCAGCAGUAGGGAAUCUUCCGCAAUGGGCGAAAGCCUGACGGAGCAACGCCGCGUGAGUGAUGAAGGUCUUCGGAUCGUAAAACUCUGUUAUUAGGGAAGAACAUAUGUGUAAGUAACUGUGCACAUCUUGACGGUACCUAAUCAGAAAGCCACGGCUAACUACGUGCCAGCAGCCGCGGUAAUACGUAGGUGGCAAGCGUUAUCCGGAAUUAUUGGGCGUAAAGCGCGCGUAGGCGGUUUUUUAAGUCUGAUGUGAAAGCCCACGGCUCAACCGUGGAGGGUCAUUGGAAACUGGAAAACUUGAGUGCAGAAGAGGAAAGUGGAAUUCCAUGUGUAGCGGUGAAAUGCGCAGAGAUAUGGAGGAACACCAGUGGCGAAGGCGACUUUCUGGUCUGUAACUGACGCUGAUGUGCGAAAGCGUGGGGAUCAAACAGGAUUAGAUACCCUGGUAGUCCACGCCGUAAACGAUGAGUGCUAAGUGUUAGGGGGUUUCCGCCCCUUAGUGCUGCAGCUAACGCAUUAAGCACUCCGCCUGGGGAGUACGACCGCAAGGUUGAAACUCAAAGGAAUUGACGGGGACCCGCACAAGCGGUGGAGCAUGUGGUUUAAUUCGAAGCAACGCGAAGAACCUUACCAAAUCUUGACAUCCUUUGACAACUCUAGAGAUAGAGCCUUCCCCUUCGGGGGACAAAGUGACAGGUGGUGCAUGGUUGUCGUCAGCUCGUGUCGUGAGAUGUUGGGUUAAGUCCCGCAACGAGCGCAACCCUUAAGCUUAGUUGCCAUCAUUAAGUUGGGCACUCUAAGUUGACUGCCGGUGACAAACCGGAGGAAGGUGGGGAUGACGUCAAAUCAUCAUGCCCCUUAUGAUUUGGGCUACACACGUGCUACAAUGGACAAUACAAAGGGCAGCGAAACCGCGAGGUCAAGCAAAUCCCAUAAAGUUGUUCUCAGUUCGGAUUGUAGUCUGCAACUCGACUACAUGAAGCUGGAGUCGCUAGUAAUCGUAGAUCAGCAUGCUACGGUGAAUACGUUCCCGGGUCUUGUACACACCGCC
Molecule: ribosomal RNA, 1398 nt
Filed under: uncultured microorganism
Description: bacterial SSU rRNA
Rfam family: Bacterial small subunit ribosomal RNA
Source: RNAcentral